UACAGAGGGUGCUAGCGUUGUUCGGAGUUACUGGGCGUAAAGCGCGUGCAGGUGGGUAGAGAAGUCGGAUGUGAAAUACCUGGGCUUAACCUAGGAAAUGCGUUCGAAACCAUCUAUCUAGAGUAAGAGAGGGGAGUGGGGAAUUCCCGGUGUAGAGGUGAAAUUCGUAGAUAUCGGGAGGAACACCAGAGGCGGAGGCGCCACUCUAGCUCUUUACUGACACUGAUACGCGAAAGC
Molecule: ribosomal RNA, 237 nt
Filed under: uncultured bacterium
Lineage: Bacteria
Description: partial 16S ribosomal RNA
Rfam family: Bacterial small subunit ribosomal RNA
Source: RNAcentral